Molecule: ribosomal RNA, 253 nt
Filed under: uncultured bacterium
Lineage: Bacteria
Description: partial 16S ribosomal RNA
Rfam family: Bacterial small subunit ribosomal RNA
Source: RNAcentral
GACGUAGGGCGCGAGCGUUGUCCGGAUUUAUUGGGUUUAAAGGGUGCGUAGGCGGCUUUUUAAGUCAGUGGUGAAAUCCAGCAGCUUAACUGUUGAAUUGCCAUUGAUACUGGAGAGCUUGAGUACAGACGAGGUAGGCGGAAUUUAUGGUGUAGCGGUGAAAUGCAUAGAUACCAUAAAGAACACCGAUUGCGAAGGCAGCUUACUAGGCUGUAACUGACGCUGAGGCACGAAAGUGUGGGGAUCAAACAGG